Molecule: ribosomal RNA, 996 nt
Filed under: Paraleptosphaeria padi
Lineage: Eukaryota; Fungi; Ascomycota; Dothideomycetes; Pleosporales; Leptosphaeriaceae
Description: SSU rRNA
Rfam family: Eukaryotic small subunit ribosomal RNA
Source: RNAcentral
UCAGUUAUCGUUUAUUGAUAGUACCUUACUACUUGGAUAACCCGUGGUAAUUCUAGAGCUAAUACAUGCUUAAAACCCCAACUUCGGGAGGGGUGUAUUUAUUAGAUAAAAAACCAACGCCCUUCGGGGCUUCUUGGUGAUUCAUGAUAACUUUACGGAUCGCAUGGCCUUGCGCCGGCGACGGUUCAUUCAAAUUUCUGCCCUAUCAACUUUCGAUGGUAAGGUAUUGGCUUACCAUGGUUUCAACGGGUAACGGGGAAUUAGGGUUCGAUUCCGGAGAGGGAGCCUGAGAAACGGCUACCACAUCCAAGGAAGGCAGCAGGCGCGCAAAUUACCCAAUCCCGACACGGGGAGGUAGUGACAAUAAAUACUGAUACAGGGCUCUUUUGGGUCUUGUAAUUGGAAUGAGUACAAUUUAAACCUCUUAACGAGGAACAAUUGGAGGGCAAGUCUGGUGCCAGCAGCCGCGGUAAUUCCAGCUCCAAUAGCGUAUAUUAAAGUUGUUGCAGUUAAAAAGCUCGUAGUUGAAACUUGGGUCUGGCUGGCAGGUCCGCCUCACCGCGUGUACUUGUCCGGCCGGGCCUUCCUUCUGGAGAACCUCAUGCCCUUCACUGGGCGUGUUGGGGACCAGGACUUUUACUUUGAAAAAAUUAGAGUGUUCAAAGCAGGCCUUUGCUCGAAUACGUUAGCAUGGAAUAAUAGAAUAGGACGUGCGGUCCUAUUUUGUUGGUUUCUAGGACCGCCGUAAUGAUUAAUAGGGACAGUCGGGGGCAUCAGUAUUCAAUUGUCAGAGGUGAAAUUCUUGGAUUUAUUGAAGACUAACUACUGCGAAAGCAUUUGCCAAGGAUGUUUUCAUUAAUCAGUGAACGAAAGUUAGGGGAUCGAAGACGAUCAGAUACCGUCGUAGUCUUAACCGUAAACUAUGCCGACUAGGGAUCGGGCGAUGUUCUUUUUCUGACUCGCUCGGCACCUUACGAGAAAUCAAAGUUUUUGGGU